This 3401-nucleotide unclassified non-coding RNA is filed under the name Leishmania donovani. RNAcentral's name for it is "gene:LdHU3.32.0600(CDS-product:Leucine_Rich_repea t_putative)". The record is from RNAcentral. Lineage: Eukaryota; Euglenozoa; Kinetoplastea; Trypanosomatida; Trypanosomatidae.
CUGUGUGCUUUUGAGAGUGACAGGGACUUAAACGCAUUCAGAAAAGAUCGUGCACCUCAACAACAGCCCUGUUCCUUUUCUUUCCUCUCGUAUGCUCUUGUUCGAUUGAGAAAACUAGCGAAAAUGGCCGAGAGAUCGUGGUGUCCAUCCCUUCACGCAGAGCCGAGUGUCUCAGUCUGGCCACUCUCUAAAAAUGCAGUUUUUGGAGCGCACAGCGAGCAAGCCGCCGGCGACGUUUUUUCAGCUCAAAGGGGUGCGUCUGUCGCCGCAAACAACAGUGUCUCAGCAACUCAGGUGGCCGGGGAACUGACUGCUUCUUUCCAGCGCCGAUUUCAUCGAUUCGACGCAGCUAUUGUUUGCUCUAAGGCGAACCGCUCCUUGUGGCCUCCGCACUUUGGUGCUGUUACGCCGUGCGACGAGGAUUCUGUGCUGACGGGGCGUGUGGCUGUCUGUCUCGAUAUAACGCGAUGGGGCAAACACCGAUAAAUGCAGCGGAGCUUGCGAUACCAUCCGACGGCAUCGACGCUUUUUUGUCCCUCAUGGCGCGCCGCUCUGCUGAAAGUAAUGGACGUUUCGCAUCUGAUUCAGUAACGAAGCUGGUCGCCUUGCCGUCCGCUGACACUGUUGCAUCGCUGAGUGAGAUUAUCGGAUCUCUCGUGAGCAGCAAGCCAGUGAUGGAGCGGCUGAGCGGGCUGGUUGCGUGCGGAGCGUCGGCCGCGACGGCGGAUGAUGUCCUCGCUGAAUUUCUCAGCUCUGCGACAAAGCUGGAGGAGCUGUGCUUAGUCAACUGCACGCUUGAAAAUACUGUCACCGCGUUGAUGGAGGCUGUGAAGAAUACGGAGAUGAAACGCUUAGGUCUCGAGCGGAGCGACCUCGGGAUCGGCUCUGCAGAUUCGGACUGUGAGGGCCUCACCACCUCUUUCUGCGAGGCUUUGAAGGUGAACAAGUUUCUGACGUCGCUAAACCUCUCUAACACAAACUUGGACACAACGUUUGUUGUUGCCCUCAUUGACGCCCUCCUGGAGUCUGACACAAAGCUGUUGCCUGAAGACUUGGGCGAGGACGCCGAGGAGGUCACAGGGUGGUCCCUUGAGGGGCGGCUCGAUAAAGCCGCGUUCGUUAGUGGUGGCGGUCGAGAUGAUAGCAACGCUUCUCUCACUGAUGACGAGACUGUCGGCGACGAUGAUGAUGCUACUCCAUCACCGGAUGCUAGCGAGAGCGACGCAGGCGAGGACGACGCGGGCGACAAGGAUAGUGGCGACGAGGAGGCAGAUGGCGACACCGAAGACGAGGAAGGAUCUGAGGAAGAGGAAGAGGAGGAAGAGGCCGCCCACGAGGCCAAGGCUCGGAGACUACGUGAGCGGCAGGAAAAAGAGGAGUGGCAGGCCCGGCAGGAGCGCAUUCGGCAGGAGCUGAAGGCGCUUCUUCAGAGUGAGGUGCGGGAGCGUAGCGAUCUCGCUCACGAAUACUAUCAAGGGCUGCAAGACGUCGUUGCCAUCAACAACGCCCCAAUCGCCAAUCUUCGAGCCACUGAGAGGCAGCAGAAAAAGGAGGCGUACUGCAGCCGCCGUAGUGGCUGGUCACGACUGGAGACGCUGGUACUGCGUGGCAACCAGGUCGGCGACCGUGGGUGCAGAAGCUUGCUUCUCUGCUGCGAGACGAAGUUCCGCUGUCAGAGGAGGAGGUGGUGCAGCGCCAGGAAGCGAUCGAUGCCAUACGGGGCAGCUUCGGGGAGAGGCUGGGCGCCGCCCGCCGUGCUGUCGAGAGAAGGGAGAAGAGGGCGUGGCGGGAGCUGCUGCGGAAGGCACAAAAAGAAUCACCGGAUUUCGCCAUCGAUCGCCGCACGAGCAUUUCCGCUGCGUUAUCGGACCUGGACGAGGAGGAUGAGUAUGCCAAGGAGGCGCCUCCGGUGUUGCUCACGAAUGUGGAGCGGUCACCUAGCAGCAGCAGUGUCGAUGAGAGCCCAGCGUCUGACGGCGACGGUGACACCGAAGCUUCUAGUGGCUUCAACCCUGAGGAGCAAAGGGAAUGGCAGGAGUGGGUCGCGCAAGCGCUGCCGCACAUGCCCGUCGCUCUCACGAAGAAAGGCAUGAACACAAUUCGUGUCAUCGAUUUAGGCAGCUGUGGCAUCAGCCGAAAAGGAGUGAAGACGCUGGCUGAGGUUCUCAAAACGAACAAGGUCCUAGAGACGCUGUGCUUGCGCCACAACCCGAUCGGCUCUAGCGCACCGGCGAAGAAGCAUGCGCAGCCGGAGGACGGCCUGACGAUCUUUCCGGAAUUCGCUGAGUUUGCCGAAAUGCUGUCCGUGAACGGCGCUCUUUGUCACCUGGACAUGGGCUAUUGCCACCUCUCUCCCGAUGAUGUGCGAGCGGUAGCCGGGGCACUGCGCAACAACACGUCCAUGGUUACCCUGAGUCUGGAGGGGAACCAGCUCGGCGUCGACGAGGGGUAUCAGCAGCAGACGCACGCGCACUCGUACAUUUACGAGCUGUGGAUGACUGCUGCGCGGCCGGGCAGUGCGCUGCGCAGCCUCAAUAUGGACCACAACCACAUCGCCACCUGUCUGUGGCAGGAGGAGGUGGCGGCGCUGGCCGCUGUAUGUGGCCAGCUUACCUCACUCUCGCUCUCUCAUGUAGGCUUACGACUUCGCCACCUCGAGGCCUGGUCUGAGGCACUGCCUCCAGAAGAUCCGUCUUACAGCCCGGCCGUGCGGGUCCUGCACUUGGCUCGCAACGAGCUCGCCACCGAGGCGGAUGGUGCGGCGCUGGGAUUGCUCUUGCGACACUUCACGGCACUCGAGGAGCUGUCAGUGGAGGAGCAUCCCCUGCUCGGGUCGAGUGGGGUGGCUGCUGCGCUGGAAUACCUGCCAGCCACAAUGCGGCGGCUCAACUGCACCGCGACGGGCUUGACCACCCCCCGCGUUGGCGCCGCGCAGAACCCAGUGUUACCGGUCGCGGUGGUGGAGCAGCUCACGUGUUUGCUGCUCGGUGACGUUGAGGCACCGACGGUGACGGCGCUUGGUGAGUGGGUGGAUUUUGUGAAAAGGGCUGCACCACAUCAGCUGCAGUUUCUCUCUCUGUGGGCCCGUGGAAUGGCAGGCAAGGAGGCCGACGUUAUGCCACUCCAACUCGAGUUGGCACAGACGUGCCCGUCACUGCUGCACGUGGACAGCGGCUUUCAGCCGGAGUUUCACGCUUCCACUUUCGCCAGCAACUGCUUCGAACAGAUGGAGCGGCUUCUUUUCCCCCGGCGCAUGCGAUGUGCCGCGGAGCAGAGCAAGGUUUAGCGGUGGCUACCACAGUGACGCUGCGUUCAUGACCGUGACAUGCUGGAGCGCGCGUUACCAGAAUUAUGUACAGUAAUGUUCAGUCUUUUCUUUCCCUUUCACUGGCUUGGUGAAG